GGACUGGAUCAACGGCUUGACGAUAAGAAAGCUGUCUCUCUUUACUAAACUCUGAAGUUAGCUGGAUAGUGAAGAGACUCUCUUAGCAAAGCGGGACGAGAAGACCCCGUUGAGCUUUAGUAAAAAUCGUUUAUUAAAAACUUGAUUACUUGAGUUGGGGCAACUAUCUUUCUUUUUUAAAACAAAGAUAAAAAUGUUUUGAGUUGAUUCUUUUAUGACCCUUAAUCUUAGGACUAGUAGAAAAAGUUACCACGGGGAUAACAGCGUAAUUUUUUUUGAGAGUUCUUAUUGACAAAAAAGUUUGCGACCUCGAUGUUG
This 318-nucleotide ribosomal RNA is filed under the name Ophiothrix fragilis. RNAcentral's name for it is "partial 16S ribosomal RNA". It matches the Rfam family "Bacterial large subunit ribosomal RNA", at positions 1985 to 2534 of the family's 2925-position model. Lineage: Eukaryota; Metazoa; Echinodermata; Ophiuroidea; Amphilepidida; Ophiotrichidae. The record is from RNAcentral.